UUAAUUCUGUCCUUGUGGUAACAUAGGUAACUACAAAAUAAAAACAAUCAAUUAAUUCUGUCCUUGUGAUAACAUGGUAACUACAAAAUAAAAACAAUCAAUUAAUUCUGUCCUUGUGGUAACAUGGUAACUACAAAAUAAAAACAAUCAAUUAAUUCUGUCCUUGUGGUAACAUAGGUAACUACAAAAUAAAAACAAUCAAUUAAUUCUGUCCUUGUGAUAACAUGGUAACUACAAAAUAAAAACAAUCAAUUAAUUCUGUCCUUGUGGUAACAUGGUAACUACAAAAUAAAAACAAUCAAUUAAUUCUGUCCUUGUGGUAACAUAGGUAACUACAAAAUAAAAACAAUCAAUUAAUUCUGUCCUUGUGGUAACAUGGUAACUACAAAAUAAAAACAAUCAAUUAAUUCUGUCCUUGUGGUAACAUAGGUAACUACAAAAUAAAAACAAUCAAUUAAUUCUGUCCUUGUGGUAACAGAGGUAACUACAAAAUAAAAACAAUUAAUUAAUUCUGUC
Molecule: long non-coding RNA, 516 nt
Organism: Mytilus californianus (California mussel)
Lineage: Eukaryota; Metazoa; Mollusca; Bivalvia; Mytilida; Mytilidae
Exons: 5
Source: RefSeq, a predicted model, not a curated record